UGCCAGCAGCCGCGGUAAUACGGAGGGUGCAAGCGUUGUUCGGAAUUACUGGGCGUAAAGGGCGCGUAGGCGGACGAUCAAGUCAGGGGUGAAAGGCCUGGGCUCAACCUAGGAAUUGCCUUUGAAACUGAUUGUCUAGAGACCGGAAGAGGAUGGUGGAAUUCCCAGUGUAGAGGUGAAAUUCGUAGAUAUUGGGAAGAACACCGGUGGCGAAGGCGGCCAUCUGGUCCGGAUCUGACGCUGAGGCGCGAAAGCGUGGGGAGCAAACAGGAUUAGAUA
This 279-nucleotide ribosomal RNA is filed under the name uncultured bacterium. RNAcentral describes it as "partial 16S ribosomal RNA". It matches the Rfam family "Bacterial small subunit ribosomal RNA", at positions 506 to 784 of the family's 1533-position model. The record is from RNAcentral.